Molecule: transfer RNA, 72 nt
Filed under: Marmota monax (woodchuck)
Lineage: Eukaryota; Metazoa; Chordata; Mammalia; Rodentia; Sciuridae
Description: tRNA.Val
Source: RNAcentral
GGGAAUGAAACUCAGUGGUAGAGAGCUAGCCCCACAUGCAUAGAGCCCUGGGUUUAAUCCCCAGCAUGGCAA